UACGUAGGGGGCAAGCGUUGUCCGGAAUUAUUGGGCGUAAAGGGCUCGUAGGCGGUCCGUCAAGUCGACUGUGAAAUCUCAGGGCUCAACCCUGAGCUUGCAGGCGAUACUGGCGGACUUGAGGCAGGUAGGGGAGAGUGGAAUUCCCGGUGUAGCGGUGAAAUGCGCAGAUAUCGGGAGGAACACCGGUAGCGAAGGCGGCUCUCUGGGCCUGACCUGACGCUGAGGAGCGAAAGCGUGGGUAGCAAACAGG
RNAcentral lists this unclassified non-coding RNA (253 nucleotides) under uncultured Euzebyaceae bacterium. Its description in RNAcentral is "contains 16S-23S intergenic spacer region". It matches the Rfam family "Bacterial small subunit ribosomal RNA", at positions 524 to 776 of the family's 1533-position model. Lineage: Bacteria; Bacillati; Actinomycetota; Nitriliruptoria; Euzebyales; Euzebyaceae. The record is from RNAcentral.